This 472-nucleotide ribosomal RNA is filed under the name uncultured Chloroflexota bacterium. RNAcentral describes it as "bacterial SSU rRNA". It matches the Rfam family "Bacterial small subunit ribosomal RNA", at positions 28 to 507 of the family's 1533-position model. Lineage: Bacteria; Bacillati; Chloroflexota. The record is from RNAcentral.
GAUGAACGCUGGCGGCGUGCCUAAUACAUGCAAGUCGUACGAAGAGUUUUUUGUGCUUGCAUAGAAAACUCUUAGUGGCGAACGGGUGAGUAACGCGUUGGUGACCUGCCCCAAAGAGAGGGAUAACCCCGGGAAACUGGGGCUAAUACCUCAUGUGGUCAUAAGGAUUAGAACGCCUUAUGUCUAAAGGAGUAAUCCACUUUGGGAGGGGCCUGCGUCCCAUCAGCUAGUUGGUAGGGUAAUGGCCUACCAAGGCUUCGACGGGUAGGGGACCUGAGAGGGUGACCCCCCACACUGGCACUGAAACACGGGCCAGACACCUACGGGUGGCAGCAGUAGGGAAUAUUGGGCAAUGGGCGAAAGCCUGACCCAGCAACGCCGCGUGUGCGAUGAAGGCCUUCGGGUUGUAAAGCACUUUUCUGGGGGAAGAGCAAGGACGGUACCCCAGGAAUAAGGUUCGGCUAACUACGUG